CAAAGUGCAGUGUUCCUAACCUAUUGUUGUCACCGCUGUGCUUAUCUCAGAUUCAACUUCUUGCUGUAAGUACUAAAAAGAAUGCCAACUUGUUACAUCGAGGGAUGCAAAAGCCGAAAUGAGGAAGGUAUCCGCUUAUUUCGCAUACCAAGAAGUGAAAAAAAUAAAGUAUGACGCAAAGAAUGGAUCAGAUUGAUUGGAAGAAACACAUUUCUGCCAGAAAAUGUCAAAAUUUGCGAGCUACAUUUUGGUGCGGAUCAAUUCGAAAGAAAACGAGAAGAUGGAAAACGACUGCUUCGUCCAUGUGCGAAGCCAAACUUAUUAGAGAAACAUUUUGAAGACAUGAUAUCUAAUCAGGAAAGUACCAGUAAUAAUACAAAUAAAGCAAGAUGUAAAUAUGACAAUAUUUAUUUCUAUAAUAAAUAUGGAAGAUAGUGUUUGUAAUAUUACAGACACCGAUGUAACAACUGCAACACUGAUAUCAAACAGUUUUCAUGACAAAAAGUUCGAAGUAUUGAGAAAUACUACAUGUAAUAGUAAAGAUUAUGAAAACAAUAUUCAAUCUUUACAGAAGGCAUUAAAAAGUUCGAGGCAGGAAUAUAGACGUUUAAAACAGAACUUGCAGACAUGAAAUAAUAAGUAUAUAAUAAGUAAUAAU
RNAcentral lists this long non-coding RNA (658 nucleotides) under Harpegnathos saltator (Jerdon's jumping ant). Its description in RNAcentral is "uncharacterized LOC112590105, transcript variant X1". Lineage: Eukaryota; Metazoa; Arthropoda; Insecta; Hymenoptera; Formicidae. The record is from RNAcentral.